RNAcentral lists this ribosomal RNA (254 nucleotides) under uncultured bacterium. Its description in RNAcentral is "partial 16S ribosomal RNA". It matches the Rfam family "Bacterial small subunit ribosomal RNA", at positions 524 to 776 of the family's 1533-position model. The record is from RNAcentral.
UACGUAGGUGGCAAGCGUUGUUCGGAAUUAUUGGGCGUAAAGGGCGCGUAGGCGGCCACCGCAAGUCGACUGUGAAAUCUCCGGGCUUAACCCGGAAAGGUCAGCCGAUACUGCGGGGCUAGAGUGCAGAAGGGGCAACUGGAAUUCUCGGUGUAGCGGUGAAAUGCGUAGAUAUCGAGAGGAACACCUGCGGCGAAAGCGGCUCACUGGACCACAACUGACGCUGAGGCGCGAAAGCUAGGGGAGCAAACAGG